GGCGAUUUAAAGACAUGCUAUAAAAACAACCAAAAAUAGUUUUACUUUUUUUUACAUCACCCCCACCCCUGAAAAUAAGCUUAAAAGCAGUACAAAACAAACACCUACAGCAUAGACCUUUUCAUCCAGCUGGAAAAGCUUAUCGAAACAAAAAUGUCUUCAAUUGUUUCCGGUGAGUACAGAUAGCAGGUGCCUAUUUUAUCUCAACAGGAAUGCUGUUCCACAGAACAUGUUGUUGGUAUUUCACUUACAGAAAACCCUGCACCUUAUAGUUUUGCUCAGAACCCGUGCUAGACACUGUGCUUCUUCACAAAGACAUGCAGUGAAGCUAACAGCCCUUCUGGCUUUAUCUCUGAGAUAACAGGAGCACUAAAGGUCACUGAGGAUUAAGAAAUUGUUAAGGAUUAAGUGCCUAUUACCUCUCCUUGUCCGUGUCUACACACCAGCUGGGAUGGUGUGACAGAUGUGCUACUUAGAUACACUCCUCCUCCAAAGCCUAAUGAUUUCAGCCUCAAAGGCCUGAUGCCACCAUCAGAUUCCUGGUGGCUAUAGAGAUCCAGAGGUGUCAUCAGAAAAAGAAUAAGGUGGAUAAAGAACAAGGUAGAUAAGAGGGGCAAAGGUAGAGUCCAUGUGGUAUAGAGGUUAGAACCUUGCACUACAGCCUGGGGGACCAGGGCUUCAAUCCCCACUCAGCUAUGAAGUUCACUGAGUGACCAUGGGCCAGUCACCAUCUCUCAGCCUAACCUUUGUCACAAGGUUGAGGUGAAAAUAAAAAUGGGGAGGGGGGAGAACCAGGUAUGCCAUCUUAUGCUCCUUGGAAUAGAGGUGUGAUACCAAUGUAAUCCAUUACUAAAGAACCAAGCGAGCACAGUCUUCCUCACAAUGGUGUAGCGUGGGUUGCCGGUGCCCAGGGCAAGGCAAGGCAAGUGCUGCGUCCCCUGGUGGACUGGACAGCUGGGGUGGAGGCAUGCACCUGCAGGAUGUGUGCAGAGCCUGCACAAAGGGUGAACAGAGCCCGCCUCCAUCAGACUCCUCACCUGUUGCCUCUGUCCACCUGCCCACUAGAUCAAUCUGCCUUCCGCUGCUCCGUGCUGGAGCCACAACCCCAGAGAAUGAGGCUGCCCUUCUGCCUCUUGCCUCUCUCCCUCCUGAUCCAGGUGGAGUCUCUUGCCUCUCCUUGGUUGUUAGUGCUAGUGGCGGCAUCCUCCUUGCGGCAAUGAGGAGGAGGCACCGCUGCCCGCCCCCCAGCACCGUGGGCCCGGACAGGGCACAGCUUGGCUUGCCUCCCUACAGUUCUGGCCUCAAUGAGGGAGCCUGUCAUGGGGGGUGCCUGGUAGUGCCCCCUCAGAAAUGUGUACCGGGUCAUCACGGCCUCUCUGGCUGCCCCUCCAUGCUAUGGUGCUGCUUCCCCAACAGAACCAAAUGCCAUAGCCUCCAUUUCUUAACAGGGCAGGCAGGCAAUUUUUAGAGUGAGUGUUCCUUUCCUCUGGCACUCUCUAUGUAAAAUUCCCUUCUAGCAUAAUACUACAGGAUGUCAGGUCAGGGUUUGCUCCAGAGAGCAAUCCUAGGGAGGAUACUUGUUUCUGCUUGCAGCUAGUUUCAUUCGUAAUGUGCAGAGAGGGAGAGUCCUUUUCAACAAGGUCUAUGUCAGACCAGUGCAUGAACAUUUAUUUUUCUACUUUCUUGUUGAAUCGAAGCAAAGGCACUUAGUUUGGGCUGCUGUAAAAAAAUAACACAGCUUAAUUUUAGGGCUAAGAUUGCGAUGAAUUCUCUCUCUCUCUCUGCAAUUUGACUGGAUUGUUUUCUGCACCCAUCUAUGACUUCCACUGGAAACCUAAAUAAGCUGUUGGGAAGAGAUGGUACUUAAAUAGCUCUAAUGAAGCAGAGGCUCUAGUUUAAGUUCUUACAAUGCAGGUAAUUUAUACAAAAUACUGGCAGUACUUUGGACGCAUUAGCUUGAUGGGGAGGAAAAGCAGGUCAGUAUUCACUUGAAAUAUGCCUGUUAUUAGCAGCACUUCUCAGCAUCUCUGCAAGGCAUAAUUUAAAAACAAUUUUUUUCUGAAUUGCACCAUCUGGAAGGGGGAAAAAUCAAUAAUAUAUUUACAUGUGGCUCAGCAGCUCCAACUGACUAUAACUUGAGUAUAUGUAAUGUAUAUUGCUUCGCCAUUUGCAGAUAUGGAUCCAGAUAACAUACUGUCUUGGCACAGGGACAAAAUACCAAAACCAGUCUGUAUUUGAGUACAGCCACCCAGGGAAGUAGUGAAGCCAUCAGCCUCUGUGAAGGGAAAGUUUGCUUCCUGUGUUAAUCCAUUGAUAUCUAGGCAGUGGUGGAGGAGGGUCAAUGCUUGAAGCGAGGAUAGCAACAAGAACACCCUCAGAUCCAGUAGUGAAAAAUCAGGAAUAGGGAAGAGCAGAUCUGUCAAUGUAGGCUUCUCUCUAGUUCACAUUUUUCCAAUCUUAAAUUCAGUUCUCCACAUUGCCAUUCCAUUUGUUUGUUUGUUUAAAAAAAACUCAUGAAAAUUCACCAGCAUUUUCAUGCCAUUUUAUACUAAUAUACAUGCUUGUAUGCAAUUUUGCCUUAUACGUUUUUGUAAACAAUCUCCUCCAAUAGAAGGCAUUUUCAUGUUAUUGUCAUCAAUAUAUGCUUCAUGUUCUUUUUGCACACUUUACCCUGCUAUGUGCAUUUCGAUUAUUUGGAUGAAGAACUCAUCACUAAAUUGGCAGAAGUGUGCAUUUUGAAGGAUGGCCGUGGGCUUGUCCACCCUGCAGCUGUUUGUGUUCCCAUUUAAUUUGCAUUGUCCACAUAAAAUUACCUUCAAAUAACAGUCCCCUGUAAAUUCAGGUUUAUUCAAUUUGGGGAUAAUCUGAUAAAUUGAGGUAAAUCAGGCUCCAAACAGCUUUGCCAGACUUUCCUCCUCUCUCUUUCUUUUUUGUUGGAGAAGGCAGAAAAGUGGGGUAAUGAUUGUCAUACACAUCCCAUUUACAAGUGAAGCAGUUUGGGGGGUUGAAAUUGUCCCUUCUGGGUUUCUUGUCCAGAUUACAUUAAUUUUGUUCCUCCUCCUUCCCAUGCAUGCUUCAAGAGAUGACAAGAAGCAGGGAAAGUGUAUUACAUAGACUGCUGCCUAAGGGGCAAGGUAAGUUGUUGCUCAGUGCUUCCUCUCCACUCUUACGCCAUUUCCACAUAUCUCUUCAGAGUUCCCCACAAAGAGGGAUUGACUAUUAAACCGUUCUGAGAAUUGUAGCUCUGUGAGGGGAACAGGGGUCUCCUAACAACUCCCAGCACUUUUAACAAACUACACUGGGAAAGGGGCGGUGGUCAUUAUUGAGUUGGGUUUGUUUUAAGUACGUGUGUUUUUAUCUUUUAGUUUAUUCUUAGAACUGCCCUGAGCCCUUGCAAUGAAGGGUGAUCUCUGUCUCUCUCAUCUAUCCAUCUAUCUAUCUAUCAUCUAUAUCUAUCUAUCAUCUAUCUAUCAUCUAUCUAUAUCUAUCAUCUAUCUAUCUAUCAUCUAUCUAUAUCUAUCUAUCUAUCUAUCUAUCUAUCUAUCUAUCUAUCUAUCUAUCUAUCUAUCAUCUAUCAUCUCCCAGGAUUCCUUGGGGGAAGCCAUGACUGUUCAAAGUGGUAUGAAACUGCUUUAAAUGUAUAGUUCAGAUGAGGCCUAAGUUUUACUCAGAGUAAAACCACUGAAAUUAAGUUAGUCAUGCUCAUUAAUUUCAAUGAAUCUGUUCUGAAUAUGACCAACAAUGAAUACAAUCCAAACUUAUAUUUGUAAAAAAAUAUAUACUACAAUAACUUAAAAUGUAUGUCUCAGCAUAUGUCACUGAAAAUAUAUGUAACAAAAGCAAAUUAAAAAUGGAAUCCAAAAAUGAGACAGCCCCUACUCAAACCUGCCUUCAGGCAGAUGUCUUUCAUAAUCCUACUAGCCAAGGUCCUUCAGUAAGAGAUGCCAUGGACCGGUCCUGGCAUCUUGCCCCAGUGCAAAGGAGGUGCUCUUGGCCUCUCCAUACAGAUGUCGCCUACUUCCCACAAGGCAGCCUGAACCAAUUACUUUCUGAGCUGGAACCAAUUACCUUCUGAGCGACCUCACCAUCCAACAAAGCAACCACAGUAUAUAGAUGCUCACAAAACCCAAAGGGAAAUAGCAUAAGCUACUUGAGACCGUCUUGCCCAAGACUUCCCAGCAUGUGUCAUGGCUAAGUGUUGAUCUGAAAGUAUUGCAUACAAAGUCAGUCCUCUGCCUUUGUACCCUGUUUUCCCAUUUCUGUGUUUUGCUUCCCAUUUAUUUUCUUUCUACUUCAAGACUCAUAACCCUUGGAAAGCAAGGGGAAUUGUUUUCUUGCUCUCCAUCAACUGACAAGCUGUAUUCACGGUUGAUUAUAUUAUGAUACAUUCACUCUUUACAAGCAGUGAUUCAGUAGACUCCAAACCCUAUUGACAGUUGCCAUAGUGAACAUAUUAAUAAGCAUCGUCAAGGAGCUAUUGCAGUCCUGCAUCGGUGCUAAUGGUAACAGAAAUGUGGAGAGCACAUGGGGAUCGGGAAAACCAUAACCCCUUCAAGCUGGUUUCCUACUACCAAUCAGUUUUUGCUUCGGCAUCUGUGCUGGGAUGUUUUGUACGGUCCCAUUUAUUAUGUUGUCAAAUGCUGAAAGCGGCUGAAAAACUGGGAGACGUGCAAUCUGAUGUCUGCGGAGAAGAGAGGAGCUUGACAGGUUUGUAAUAGGGGGAACGUUGGGCUACAACAAGCCAGCAGAGCAGUAGUUGAAAGGUUGGCUGUGCCUUGGCAUGGCAUUUCUUCAUGAGUUGGGAAAGAGGAAAUGCAGCAGUUGCAGAACUUAGUUGUUAUGUAGCUAAGAAGCUUUGACAGGCCAAUGACAGAUUAAAUCAUCGAGAGGACAUUUUUAUGAGAGGCCUCCAGAUGGCAGAAGUAAUGCAUUGUUGUAUGUCUUAGAUUCAUGGCUCUGCUAGAGCUAUUCUCUCUCCCCCCCCCGCCUCCCCCCCCUUCAUUAACAAGAUAUGUUUUCCUUUCUCUGCAAUAAGACUUAUAACAAGUUUAAAGAAAAAAGGGUUUGGAAAGAAACCUGAGAAACCAACUCUCAAUAAUGCUGGGCAACUGGGAUUUUCAAACCACAUUCCAUUGUACACAGCUUGAAUUUCUUUCUUUCCUUUCCUUUCUUUCUUUCUUUGGACAUAUUUCUUACCUUCUGCAAUAACUCUGUUUUAAUUAAUACCAAUUUUCCCUGCAAAUAUUAGGCAAAACCUCAGGUGAUCUCUAAAGCCUCAUUUGACUCUGAAUUUCUCCAGAACUGUACACUCAGUAAGAAGUUCUGUUUUCCACUCUGCAGCAAUCUAUUUUCUCCUCUUCUCUCUGCUGAUACAUCCCAUUUUCUUGUCAUAGGAGAAAUCGCUGUUGUAUAAUCUUUCCCAACAAGGAGCACAUAUCUUGUUUGAGCCUGAUUACGCUGAAACGUUGAGACUGGCUUCUUUCUUCACUCGUGUGCUGAGCUUAAACUGCAGCUGUUCAGCAUCUGGUUGCUACUUUGGAACAAUAUUGUGAAUUCUAAGGGUGCUUGAAGAUGUCAUUUCAGUUCUACCUGUAAUAAAAUAUAUUAG
Molecule: non-coding RNA, 5608 nt
Organism: Podarcis lilfordi (Lilford's wall lizard)
Lineage: Eukaryota; Metazoa; Chordata; Lepidosauria; Squamata; Lacertidae
Source: the annotation of a GenBank genome assembly